Molecule: long non-coding RNA, 647 nt
Filed under: Homo sapiens (human)
Lineage: Eukaryota; Metazoa; Chordata; Mammalia; Primates; Hominidae
Description: HSALNT0130852
Source: RNAcentral
GUACAGUGACCACUCAGCAGCUCUGGACUGGCUCCCGUGUGGCCCUGCCAACAGGAUGGGGAGGGCCUGGCAUGUGUGAGUAGCCAUGCCCACCCACGUAUUUGCCUACUAUGCCUGCCAACUGGGAUGAAAAAGCUUUGGAUCUGGCUAAGUUUCUGUGAACCAGAUCAUAAACCUACAAACUCCUCCAGUGGCUGCAGACAGCCGUUUGUGACCACAAGGAAAGGUAGUGGAAGCCCAGAUGGACACAGAGAGAAAGAACACAGACUUGCUGGUCUGGGACAAGCAUUGUUGUUCAAGCCAGUUCGCGUUUGAGUUUCUGUUACUUCCAGCCCCAAAAGCACCCUAGAUAGGAGAGUCUACCUAAUACAGCAAGACCAUGGCCCUUUCCAGAAAGGGUGGAGGCUGCUAGCUCAGGAGGUCGGUCUAUAGGCAAUUAAAUCUCUGUGGGUGUAACACAGACUGUGUUCUUACUGCUAUUUGUGGAAAACAAUUUUCUUAAAAUAGAUAGAACAGACCUUGACACCCUGAAGUCAAGCACUGACAGCCUCUGUUUUGAAAACAAAGCACCGUCAAGCUCUAGAAAAUGCAUGCAGGGCUCCAGAGCCCGUCCAGAUGAGCAGAAAUGGCAGAGGGGGACAGAGGGG